UAGAAGAAGUUGUGAUUGGCUCGAUCCAUGAUUGGAAACUACGGGAUAUAGAUAUAAAAGAAAGAAGACACAACCCUAAGGAUCCAUAGAAUUCAAUGUGGACCCAACAUAACAAUAAAAACGUUUAAGUUGUUUUGUUUUAUACUUU
Juglans microcarpa x Juglans regia is the source of this 148-nucleotide long non-coding RNA. RefSeq lists it as uncharacterized. The record is from RefSeq and is a predicted model, not a curated record. The transcript is spliced from 3 exons. NCBI's taxonomy places the organism in Eukaryota, Viridiplantae, Streptophyta, Magnoliopsida, Fagales, Juglandaceae.